This 7359-nucleotide long non-coding RNA is filed under the name Capsicum annuum. Its description in RNAcentral is "long non-coding RNA (CANN_LNC015192)". Lineage: Eukaryota; Viridiplantae; Streptophyta; Magnoliopsida; Solanales; Solanaceae. The record is from RNAcentral.
UUGAAGUGUAAUAAACUUACACUCCAAGGCCACCCAUUGGCAAGGGUAGGAUGGUCAUUUGUUAUCUCUCUUUGUGGACUAAUAUAAAUAGAUAGUGUUAGGGUUAUUUUGGAGUUAGUUCAUUCAUGAUAUUUUGAGAACACAAGACAUGUAAUAUUUUGAACUCCUCUCUUCCAUUGGAGAAGCUCAAAAUCGAAAUUCCCAAUUGGAGUGACACUUGGGUUGAAUCUUGGCUAGAAACUAGGAUCUUGAGGUCAUUGAGUUCCUCUUGGUCCAAGUAGGAGCUUGGUAAUAAUAUUCUUUAGUCUUAGGUUCCUUUUAUGUUGUUAGGGUUCUUAGAUUCUUGAAUAUUGUAUGUCAAGUUACUAUCUUUAAUUUAUAAUCUUGUUGUUUGUGUGGUAACAUAGUGAAGCCGUGUGGGGCCAUUUUCGAUUCACUAUAGUUGCUGCCACUUUGUUGCUCUUGUUGUUGUUAUUUUAAUCUUGUCAUCUCUAUCAUCUUGUCAUUUUUUAUAAACCUUGAAGUCUAGUGAAGCCGUGUGUGGCCUAUUUCGAUUCACUAGCAUUGUUGUUGUUCAUCUUGUUAUUCUUGUAUUGGCUUGACUCUCUUGAUACACACUCACUUUUGUAUCAUUUGGUAUCAAAGAUUGUGGUUGAUUUUGUUCCAACAAAAUCAAUCUUGGGCUUGGUAGUUGAAAAAUACCAAAAAACAAAAAGAAAAAAAAAAGGUUGCUGAAAUCUGAAAAUUCUAGAAAAAAAAAGAAAAAUCUGUCCAUCUUAUUCUUGGCCGAAAAAAUUAUGUUGUGUUGUUGUCUUGACCAAGAUUGGUGUUUGUGUGUUUAUAUCUAGAUGUUCUUUUGUUUGUCUAGUUUGUUUCUUGUGUUGAUUUCUUUCUCAUCAACACAAAAGGUGUCUAAAGCUAAGUUGAGCUUAAUAUAUUGACAUUGCUAUUGUGGACUUGAAGUGGCAGUAUGAUGAACUUGAAGAAGACUGAAUUUGUGUGUUGUUGCUUGACUUUAAAGUGGGCUAUUAUUGGUGAAUUGUGGUUGUGUUGUUGAAGUAUUGUUGUGGUGUUCAUCUUGAUCUUCAAUUCAUCUCAUAUCUUGACCACUAUAAAGACUAAAAUAGACCUAAAAGGGUUGUAAGACAAGGUUGUAAAGUUGUUUGUGAAAAGACUUGCCAACAUCACUUCCUUGAAUUAACAACCACUUUUCCUUAAAACAAGGAGCCUUGUCUUGUGGAACUAGUAAAGUCAAGCCUCAUCUUUUUGAGUUGGAAAAAUUUGAAAAGUUACAAAACUUUACUUUCCCUCCAAAAGUAAAGUCAUCCAUUACAAAAUUGUGAAGAUUAAUGCUUCAAGUUGUUGAACAAAAUGUAUGGACCCGUGGUCAAUUUCAUGCUGCCACAUCACCUUAAUCACUGUUCACGUUAUUAAUUAAGCUCAAUUUGGAUAUUCUAGUUUCUAAUUAUUGAUUCUUAGUUUCUUCUAAUUGACUCGAGAACUAAUUAGCAAGCUAGUACAUUCCUACUAGGUUGUCAAUUAGUCCUUUGAAGCCUUGUAUUCGUGUCAUCGUUUGUUUGUGUGCUUUUUGUCGUUUGAAUACGUUGUAACUCCUUGACUCUUGUCCAACAAGAAUUCUUUGAGUUUCAAGCAAAAAUCUACUCCGAACAAGAGCAUACUCAAACCUUAAGGAUUCAUGGGUUACUAGCUAAUCUACAACACUUGUAGAGCUCGAGUGUGAGUAAUCCGAGAGUGUGUGAGUGAUGAGAGAUUUCAAACUAACUUGUUUGUUGAUUGUGUAGGUGAUACCUUGACAAUGAAGGGAACCACAUCUCAAACCAUGGAUUCUAAUGAAAUGGAGAAUAUGAGGGUCACUUUUGAGGCUAUGACCCAAGCUCUUGAAAGGUUGAGUAUGAAAGUUGGAGCCAUAAGGGGAGAAAUGACGACUAUUAGUGGGAGGUUAGAACAAGUGGAGAGUCAAAGGAACUCUCGUCCUUCUACUCCUCGACAUGUUUCGUCAAAUGGACAUGAUAAAAAUUCCUCCUCCACCGUUACUCCCAAAACAUGGCCACAAUUGCCAAAUCCUUUACUAGCUCCACUAAAUGCCGCAAGCCAAACCACUCAUAACCCCCUAAACCGAGACUCCAAUAGACCAACCCAUUCCCAAACUCUUCAAUUUCUGCAAGAGGGACUCAGACGUCAAAUGCCUCCACAAAAUCCGAACCCUUCCUUCCAAGCUCCACUAAACCAAAGACCACCACCUCUACAAAAUCCAAUCCCUCCAAAUCAAGUUCCAAAUGUCCGAAACCAUCCCGUCCACUUUGAGGAAUAUGGUAGAGAGUAUUAUGAAGGGUAUAGAGCCUUUGACGAUGCUUAUAUGAGGGAAGAAGAGAUGGGAGGAGGAGUGCGGAUCCAAGAAGAUACCAAGGGUAUGGAGAAAGGCAAAAUCGACACUAAGAGAGAGACGUAUGCAUCAAUACCAUCAAAUUGAUUCUACCUAUCUUUAAGGGUGAAAGUGACCCCGAGGUGUAUCUUGCUUGGGAGUCGGCAUGUGAUAAAGUGUUUCAAGUGAAUGAUAUAUCGGAGAAAAGGAAGAGUUGUUAUGCCAUAGCUCACUUUGAAGGCUAUGCUAACACAUGGUGGAAAUAUGUCAAGCGGUUUGGUAAUGAGUUGAUUGAUGGACAACUACCACUAUGGUUUCGGUUGAGGUAUCUAAUGAGGCAACAGUAUCUUCCCAAAAGUUAUCGUUAUGAGUUGUUUCUAGGUUGUACAAUUUGCGACAAGGUAAUCGAAGUGUGAUGGCAUAUUAUGAUGAGUUUCAACAACUCAUGUUGAAGCUUGAUCAUCGUGGAGAACAAAUUGGCCAUGACAUCAUUCGGUUCAAGGUGUGGGUUGAACAAAGAGAUCUCCACUCAUUUGACGCUUCACAAGUUUGAUACCGUUGAAGGAAUUUUCCAAGUGGCUCUUGAGAUUGAAAUAGAGCUUAAAGAAAGGUCGUCGUUCAAGGCCAAGGGACCAUCAACCUCGGGUUGGCUGAGGAGCAAAGAUAUGGUUCAACCAUCUUCGGGUUAUCCCAAAAAUAAGGACCAACCCGCCACUAUAUGGCUUCCCAAGCCUAAAAAUGUCCACAAAUUUCCUUCCCAACAAGAAGCUCACAAGUAUUCUAAUCCUAAAGGGUUCCAAUGUUUUAAGUGCCAAGGUUGGGGACAUCAAUCCAAUGAAUGUCCAAACCGAUGCAAUGUGAUCCUAAGGAAAGGGAUAUUGUAUUACCUUGGUAAGAAAAUGGGUUUUCAAAAAGAAGAGAAUGAGGCCGAGCCUUAAGAUGGAGAGAAACCCAAAAGUGAGCCACAUAAUGAUGAUGAUGAUGAUUGUGAGGAUGCUUAUCCACAAGAAGGGAAGCGCGUGGUUCCAAACUUUGUAGUGAGGCGUGCCAUGAUUAGUAAGGCGAUAAAUGAUCCUAGCCAACGGGAGAAUCUAUUCCAUACUAAAUGCCUUGUGAAGGAAAGUGUGUGCACUUUGGUGAUAGAUAGUGGUAGUUGUGCAAAUGUUGUUAGUGUUGCUAUGGUGAACUUCUUGAAAUUGCCAACUACACUUCAACUAGCCUUUAUAAGUUGCAAUGGUUGAAUGAAUGUGGGCGAAUUGAAAGUCACGAGACAAUGUGUGAUACAGUUUAAGGUGGGAAACAACUACGAUGAAGUGCUUUGUGACGUAAUAACAAUGCAAGCGUGUCACUUGUUGUUAGGUAGAUCUUGGAAAUAUGAUAUGUUUACCAAACAUGAUUGGAGGUCUAAUCGAUAUACACUUGAGAAGGAUGGACGAAAGCUCACACUUCAUCCACUUUUGCCUUCACAAGUGAACGAGUUGCAUCAAAGGAUGAGAGAAUUGAAAGAAAAGGGAAAAAAAUACAAAAAUAAAAAAAAGGAACCCGUGGGUGGGGUAGUGGGGAUAUCCGGGGCUGCCUCAAUAUCAAAGGGAAAAGAAAACAUGGUAAUGUUGGUUAGAAAGAAGGAGCUCUUCAUGGAUCAUGAUGAUGAGACACCUAUGCUUAUUUUGGCACAUUGUUUUAACACUAACCCCACUAAUUCUUCUAUUUCUCCUUUGAUUUCUUGUGUGUUGCAGGAUUAUGAAGAUGUUUUUCCCAAAUAACUUCUACAAGGGAUGCCUCUGCUUCGGGGAAUUGAGCACCAAAUAGAUUUUAUGCCGGGAUCACAAUUGCCCAACAAACCGGCUUAUAUGAGCAACCCGAUGAUACCAAGGAAUUGCAACGCCAAGUUGAGGAACUCCUCAACAAAAGGUAUAUCAAGGAGAGUAUGAGCCCUUGCGCGGUCCCGGUGCUAAUAGUUCUCAAGAAAUAUGGGACUUGGCAUAUGUGCGUUGAUUGCUGAGCCAUCAACAAGAUAAAGGUAAAAUAUUGUCACCCUAUUCCUAGGUUAGAUGAUAUGCUUGAUGAAUUGAGUGGUUCAUGUUUGUUUUCUAAAAUUGAUUUGAGGAGUGGCUAUCAUCAAAUCCGUAUGUAACUGGGUGAGGAAUGGAAAACUGCCUUCAAGACCAAAUUCAGUCUCUAUGAAUGGAUGGAUGCCAUUCGGCGUAACAAAUGCUCCAAGUACUUUCAUGAGGCUAAUGAAUCAUGUGAUGAAACCUUUUAUCGGAAAGUUUGUUGUUAUCUACUUUAAUGAUGUGUUGGUGUAUAGUAGGUCCUUAGAUGAGCAUGUAAAACAUUUACAAUGUGUGUUUGAUGUCCUCCAAAAGGAGAAGUUAUAUGCUAAUUUAGAAAAGUGUUCUUUUGGUGUCCAAGAAGUUGUAUUUCUCGAUUUUGUGGUGAGCUCAAGAAGGGUCGAAGUGGAUGAAUCUAAGAUUGACGCUAUCAAAAAUUGGCCAACUCCCAAAACCAUAGGUGAAGUGAGAAGCUUCCACGGGUUGGCUAGUUUUUAUAGACAUUUUGUUAAAGGAUUUAGCACCAUUGCCGCCCCUUCGACCGAAGUAAUUAAAAAGGAUCGACCUUUCAAGUGGGGAGAUGAACAAGCUAAGGCCUUUAAGGACUUGAAAGCUAUGCUUAUCUCGGCCCCUUUGUUACAAUUGUCGAAUUUUGACAUGACUUUUGAGGUUGAAUGUGAUGCUAGCAAAGUUGGUAUAGGCGCGGUUUUAAUGGAAAAAUAGAAGCCUAUUGCCUACUUUAGCGAAAAGCUCAAAGGAGCAACUCUAAACUACUCUAUGACGAUUUAGAGUUGUAUGCCUUAAUUAGAGCCUUGGCCACUUGGCAACAUUAUUUAUGGCCUAAAGAAUUUGUGAUCCGAACAGACCAUGAGUCCUUGAAGCAUUUUCGGGCACAAAAUAAGAUUAACAAACGGCAUGCCAAGUGGAUUGAGUUUCUUGAAACUUUCCCUUAUGUUAUUCAUUACAAAAAGGGUAAGGACAAUGUGGUUACCGAUGCUUUGUCUCGGAAACACGUUCUUGUGUCUACUUUGUCUUCAAAAUUGAAGGGUUUUGAGAUCUUAAAGGAAUUGUAUCCCGAGGACCCUCACUUUGCUCCUAUCUAUAGGGAAUGUGAAGAAUGGGGUAGGGACAAAUGGGAUUCGGCUUGGGGUUUAAAUCCCUAUGCCAAGUUUGACGGUUACUUGUUUAAAGGUAGGCGAUUGUGUGUACCCUCUAGCUCUUGGAGAGAGUUAUUUGUGAGAGAAGCACACAAUGACGGUCUAAUGGGUCACUUUGGAGUGGAAAAGACCCUUGGAAUAUUGGAGGAGCAAUUCUAUUGGCCAAAAAUGCACAAGGAUGUGUCUAGGAUUUGUGGCCAAUGUGUAGAUUGCAAAGGAUCCAAAUCUCAGCUCCAACCUUAUGGGUUGUACACCUCGCUACCCACCCCCUUACAUCCUUGGCUUGCUAUAUCUAUGAAUUUUGUGUUAGGGUUGCCAAGGACUAGAAUAGGUCGGGAUAGUAUCUUUGUUGUGGUUGAUCGGUUUUCUAAGAUGGCAUACUUUAUUCUAUGCUCUAAAUGUGAUGAUGUACCUAGUGUGGCCUCUUUGUUUGUUGAUAAUGUUGUCAAGUUGCAUGGUGUUCCGAGGACCAUUGUGAGUGAUAGGGACUCUAAGUUCCUAAGUCACUUUUGGAAGUCCAUGUGGGGUAGGCUUGGUACCAAGUUGUUGUUCUCCCCUUCUUGCCACCCACAAACCGAUGGCCAAAUGGAAGCAGUAAAUAGGACAUUGGGUGCUAUGCUAUGUUCAAUAAUUAAGGAAAAAUUGACUUCUUGGGAGGAACACCUAGCAUUAAUUGAGUUUGCCUAUAAUCGUGUCAUACAGUCAAGUACGGGAAUGACUCCCUUUGAGAAUGUAUACGGCCUCAACCCCCUUACCCUUUUGGAUUUAACUCCUUUGCCAAGUGAUCUUAUGAUAACCUAGAUGGAAGAAAGAGGGCAGAUUUUAUGAAAAGGUUGCAUGAGAAGGUGCGGCUUCGACUUUAGAAGAAAAAUCAAGAGAUUGCAAAGUGGGUAAACAAAGGAAGAAACUCAUUCUUGAAUCGGGAGAUUGGGUGUGGGUGCACCUUAGGAAAGAUCGGUUUCCAUCUCAAAGGAAGACCAAAUUGAUGCCAAGGGGUGAUGGUCCAUUCCAAGUACUUGAAAGAAUCAAUGAUAAUGCCUAUAAGAUUGACCGUCCCCCAUAAUACCAAGUGCACAACACUUUCAACGUGUGUGAUCUGUCUCUAGUGGAUGCGGUUAAGGGUGACCAAAUGUCAAAUUUGAGUUCAAAUUCCUCUUAAGAUGGAGAGGAUGAUAUGGGUGUACCAAGUUGUCCAACAAGUUCUACAAGUUGUCCAACAAGUUCACGACCAUUCACACGUAGCCAAGCUCGGGAGUUACAAAAACUCCAAGCUAUGUUCAUGCAAAUGGCCGUGUGUGAGUUGGUACUUGAGCCUUCCAAUGGAUUAAAUGUUUUUAAGUGUGAAGAGGAACCUUGAAGUGUAAUAAACUUACACUCCAAGGCCACCCCUUGGCAAGGGUAGGAUGAUCAUUUGUUAUCUCCCUUUGUGGACUAAUAUAAAUAGAUAGUGAUAGGGUUAUUUUGGAGUUAGUUCAUUCAUGAUAUUUUGAGAAUACAAGACUUGUAAUAUUUUGAACUUCUCUCUUCCAUUGGAGAAGCUCAAAACCGAAAUUCCCAAUUGGAGUGACACUUGGAUUGAAGCUUGGCUAGAAACUAGGAUCUUGAGGUCAUUGAGUUCCUCUUGGUCCAAGUAAGAGCUUGGUAAUAAUAUUCUUUAGUCUUAGGGUCCUUUCAUGUUGUUAGGGUUCUUAGAUUCUUGAAUAUUGUAUGUCAAGUUACUAUCUUUAAUUUAUAAUCUUAUUGUUUGUGUGGUAACAUAGUGAAGCCG